RNAcentral lists this transfer RNA (71 nucleotides) under Loxodonta africana (African savanna elephant). It matches the Rfam family "tRNA". From Rfam's summary of the family: Transfer RNA (tRNA) molecules are approximately 80 nucleotides in length. Their secondary structure includes four short double-helical elements and three loops (D, anti-codon, and T loops). Further hydrogen bonds mediate the characteristic L-shaped molecular structure. tRNAs have two regions of fundamental functional importance: the anti-codon, which is responsible for specific mRNA codon recognition, and the 3' end, to which the tRNAs corresponding amino acid is attached (by aminoacyl-tRNA synthetases). tRNAs cope with the degeneracy of the genetic code in two manners: having more than one tRNA (with a specific anti-codon) for a particular amino acid; and 'wobble' base-pairing, i.e. permitting non-standard base-pairing at the 3rd anti-codon position. The record is from Rfam by way of RNAcentral. Lineage: Eukaryota; Metazoa; Chordata; Mammalia; Proboscidea; Elephantidae.
ACAGUGGUGGUUCAGUGGUAGAAUUCUCACCUUCCAUGCGGGAGACUUGGCUUCAAUUUCCCACCAAUGCA